GAUGAACGCUGGCGGCGUGCCUAAUACAUGCAAGUCGAGCGAACAGACGAGGAGCUUGCUCCUCUGACGUUAGCGGCGGACGGGUGAGUAACACGUGGAUCACCUACCUAUAAGACUGGGAUAACUUCGGGAAACCGGAGCUAAUACCGGAUAAUAUAUUGAACCGCAUGGUUCAAUAGUGAAAUACGGUUUUGCUGUCUCUUAUAGAUGGAUCCGCGCGGCAUUAGCUAGUUGGUAGGGUAACGGCUUACCAGGGCAACGAUGCGUAGCCGACGGGAGGGAGGGAUCGGCGACAUGGGAGCGGGAACAGGGACAAGGCUCCUACGGGAGGGAGCAGAAGGGAAUGUUCCGCAAGGGGCGGAAGCCUGGCGGAGCGAGGCCGCGUGAGUGAUAGAGGUCUUGGGAGCGUAAAGCCCUGUUAUUAGGGAAGAACAAAUGUGUAAGUAACUGUGCACGUCUUGACGGUACCUAAUCAGAAAGCCACGGCUAACUACGUG
Molecule: ribosomal RNA, 497 nt
Filed under: uncultured bacterium
Lineage: Bacteria
Description: partial 16S ribosomal RNA
Rfam family: Bacterial small subunit ribosomal RNA
Source: RNAcentral